GCUCCUGCAUCCGAAAGUGAUCAUAGGCUGCCUGUGCCUAGGUCAUUGAUAGUGCAGGGAGAGGAACGCUGAAAGAGGUUGUCCCCGUGUUUGGAGGGUCCACCCUAUCCCAUCCGAACCCUGAAGCUUUCACACAACUCCUGUUGCUCUCCUGCCAGCCCUUGAGGAGUCCGGCGCUUGCUUGGCUGCCACAUGAAAGUCAGUGCGGGGGGGCAUCAUGCUUAAGUCUUUCUCAGCUUGACCUCUCUUUGCAGAAACCAGGCUCUGUGUUCUGAGGGGUAGAUCAGGAAGGGAAUGUGAUAUGUAAUGAGUCAUGGUGUGUCGCAGUGGAUAGCACAGUUUCGAAUAAGUGCAAUAUUGGCAUAUAAACAUGAGGGAGACUUUGAGGUUGGGGUGAGCAGGGCUGACCCCGUGUGUGUGUGUGUGUGUGUGUGUGUGUGUGUGUGUGUAUGUGUAACUUGGGGACAGGAUAGGGUAGCAUCUUUACAUCUUUACAUGUCAUUGGCCUGGAAUAGGGGGUCCUGAAGGGUUUGUCGUAAGAAAGAGAAAGUGCUCAUUGCUGCAAGGGGAGCACAGCCGGGUUCUGAGAGGCAAAACACUUCCCUCACUUCCCACCCAAGAGUUUCGCCUGUUCUCUCGACCCUCUGAGGUGUGCAUUGGUGUCACUCACUGGCCACCAUUCCAGCUCUUAAUUCCUCUGCCUUUUGUGCUGGCCUUUGGGGCUCCCCUGAGGAUGACUGGUUCUCAGGUUGCCCCUGGAGGAAUGGGUGGAGUUGUAAGAUCAGGAAUAAAGCUAGAGAGGGAGGACCAAGGGGAAGUCACUGAUGCAGCCGCCGUCUAGCCCAUCCCACCCCGAUUGAGAGGUCGCUUUUUCCUGUUGAACAUGUUGGAUAGUGGAAUGUGUUAUAAGAAGUGAUAUGUGUGGCUUCUUGUCAUUGCAGGAUUGUCAGCUGACCUCUGUCCUGUGUGCCCAGUGGCCCCAGGUGACGUGUCUUCAAGAAGAGGCUGAGCUGCGGUGCUUGUAAGAGUCAUGUGCUGUUCCUGGGGCUUGGAUGAUGUAGGGGAAGCAAGGUGAAAGUGGUAUCCCGUGGUUCCACGUUCUGUCCUGCUGUGGGGCUGUCCCUCACAUGCUUUCAGUGGCUGUUGCAGAGGAAGAGCCUCCGGAAAUCUGCGUGGGUCUCAGCCUUAGAUCCAAGGACAGUCCAAGGAAGUCCUAAGACCAUGGAGUUGGUGAUCUGGGAUCUGGGUUUGCUGAUAUUUCUCACCGUGAAUCUCUUGGUGGUGUUUGUGGGCACGAGAGGGGCAGAGAAUGGAGAGUGAGGCUACCACAUGAAGCGUCACCAGAGCUGCUCCCUGCUGCCUGCUCAGAGCACCCCGGAUCCACUGUUCAAUCUGCACAAGAUUCGGGGUCCAGACAUGGGAGACUUCAGCUGCCUCAGAGGACCGUGGACAGGGAAGGCCAGCCUCGCAUCCCUCUGUCCAUGCCUGGAAUGACUUUAAUAACCAAGAGUUUUAUUUUUGAAUUUGUAGCUGUCGUUCACUUUUUACCCACCCAUUCAAUAAACCUUACAGAAUUGCUCCA
Homo sapiens (human) is the source of this 1582-nucleotide long non-coding RNA. Ensembl annotates it as small nucleolar RNA host gene 17. Its record names the gene SNHG17. The record is from Ensembl. NCBI's taxonomy places the organism in Eukaryota, Metazoa, Chordata, Mammalia, Primates, Hominidae.